GAGGGUAUAGCUCAGUGGUAGGGCAUAUGCUUAGCAUGCAUGAGGUUCUGGGUUCAAUCCCCAGUCCCUCCA
Molecule: transfer RNA, 72 nt
Filed under: Camelus bactrianus (Bactrian camel)
Lineage: Eukaryota; Metazoa; Chordata; Mammalia; Artiodactyla; Camelidae
Also listed under: 2 other names
Rfam family: tRNA
About the family: Transfer RNA (tRNA) molecules are approximately 80 nucleotides in length.
Source: Rfam by way of RNAcentral